ACCCGCUGAACUUAAGCAUAUCAAUAAGCGGAGGAAAAGAAACCAACAGGGAUUGCCCUAGUAACGGCGAGUGAAGCGGCAACAGCUCAAAUUUGAAAUCUGGCUCUUUUAGAGUCCGGGUUGUAAUUUGCAGAGGGCGCUUUGGCUUUGGCAGCGGUCCAAGUUCCUUGGAACAGGACGUCACAGAGGGUGAGAAUCCCGUACGUGGUCGCUGGCUAUUGCCGUGUAAAGCCCCUUCGACGAGUCGAGUUGUUUGGGAAUGCAGCUCUAAAUGGGAGGUACAUUUCUUCUAAAGCUAAAUAUUGGCCAGAGACCGAUAGCGCACAAGUAGAGUGAUCGAAAGAUGAAAAGCACUUUGGAAAGAGAGUCAAACAGCACGUGAAAUUGUUGAAAGGGAAGCGCUUGCAGCCAGACUUGCUUACAGUUGCUCAUCCGGGCUUUUGCCCGGUGCACUCUUCUGUAGGCAGGCCAGCAUCAGUUUGGGCGGUAGGAUAAAGGUCUCUGUCACGUACCUCUCUUCGGGGAGGCCUUAUAGGGGAGACGACAUACUACCAGCCUGGACUGAGGUCCGCGCAUCUGCUAGGAUGCUGGCGUAAUGGCUGU
This 603-nucleotide ribosomal RNA is filed under the name uncultured fungus. RNAcentral's name for it is "eukaryotic LSU rRNA". It matches the Rfam family "Eukaryotic large subunit ribosomal RNA", at positions 23 to 641 of the family's 3401-position model. Lineage: Eukaryota; Fungi. The record is from RNAcentral.